This 495-nucleotide ribosomal RNA is filed under the name uncultured bacterium. RNAcentral's name for it is "bacterial SSU rRNA". It matches the Rfam family "Bacterial small subunit ribosomal RNA", at positions 1026 to 1529 of the family's 1533-position model. The record is from RNAcentral.
GCAGUUGUGAAGGUGCUGCAUGGUUGUCGUCAGCUCGUGCCGUGAGGUGUCGGCUUAAGUGCCAUAACGAGCGCAACCCUUAUCGAUAGUUACCAUCAGGUUAUGCUGGGGACUCUGUCGAGACUGCCGUCGUAAGAUGUGAGGAAGGUGGGGAUGACGUCAAAUCAGCACGGCCCUUACGUCCGGGGCUACACACGUGUUACAAUGGGGGGUACAGAAGGCAGCUACACGGCGACGUGAUGCUAAUCCCGAAAGCCUCUCUCAGUUCGGAUUGGAGUCUGCAACCCGACUCCAUGAAGCUGGAUUCGCUAGUAAUCGCGCAUCAGCCACGGCGCGGUGAAUACGUUCCCGGGCCUUGUACACACCGCCCGUCAAGCCAUGAAAGCCGGGGGUACCUGAAGUGCGUAACCGCAAGGAGCGCCCUAGGGUAAAACUGGUGAUUGGGGCUAAGUCGUAACAAAGUAGCCGUACCGGAAGGUGCGGCUGGAUCACCUC